This 2834-nucleotide long non-coding RNA is filed under the name Setaria viridis. Its description in RNAcentral is "long non-coding RNA (SVIR_LNC001373)". Lineage: Eukaryota; Viridiplantae; Streptophyta; Magnoliopsida; Poales; Poaceae. The record is from RNAcentral.
CGGCGUUAAUAUCUCCACCCCUCCCUCUCCUCCCCUCACCCCCACAUCCUCCUCCUCCCACGAUCCCCAAAUCCUCCUCCGGAUUUCGCAUUCAGCGCGGCGCAGGUGAGCCUCCCCCAACCUCCCCCUCCCCUUCCUCCUCGCCGGAUCCAGAUCUGAAACCGCCGCGCUCUCAGAUCUCCCUGCCCCCGAUCUCCUCUCGCGCGAAGUCUCCGAUCUCCUCCUCUCCGGGGGUCGCGCGCCGUCGGGGUUCGUGCAGAUCUCCACCCGCGCGACGGAUCGGGGCGUUCGGUUGGAUCGGCUUGGACCCGCGGCGCCGUCUCCUCGGCGCGUCGCGGGCUCGCGAUCCGUUUGUUUUUUUAGGGUUUGUAUGUGUGGAGAUCUGACCCGGGGAAUGAAUGGGUUUGGCGAUCUGCAGGUGGUGAAGGGGGGUAGAGAAGGGGAAGAUGGGGCUCGCGUUCGGGAAGCUCUUCAGCCGGCUCUUCGCCAAGAAGGAGAUGCGGAUCCUCAUGGUGGGGCUCGACGCCGCCGGUAAAACCACCAUCCUCUACAAGCUCAAGCUCGGCGAGAUCGUCACCACCAUCCCCACCAUCGGUGAGCCCCCCACGCGCGCCUCCUCUCUCUUUCCCUUCCCUUGCGCACGUUGAUCGGUUCGGAUCGUGCUGUUCAAUUCGGUUAUCAGGGGGUCGCGCGGUCUAGCACAAUGCCCUGUUAGCGUUUAUAUCUGGUCAAUGGAUCCAUUUCAUGCGUAAAUGAUGGAUCUGCAUGUUUAGAACACAUCGUUCCUAAUAUUUUUGAAUUGAAUUCCAGCAUAUCUGAAUUUACCUGUACACGCAGUUGCACCUGAUUUGAUGCAACACAUGCGAUUUAUGUUGGCCUUUUUGACUGUAAGAUCCGUUUGUUCGUAGUGAGCAUGAUUCAUUGUUUUCUUUAAUGUCAUCGUCACUGAUUCAUGUUUUUUUAUUCAUUAUAAUAGUUUCCUGUCUCCAUGAACUCAUCUCAUUACAAAACAUUGAAAUGCAAGUGAACUGUGUAAUUUUUGAUUUCAUUAUUAUCCAAUUGAAAAUUUUAUUGUCUUCUUAUACCGCCAAAAAAUUAGGAAAGCUCAUUUAGACAUUAUCACGUUGAAGAAGGCAAAUUGAACCCUCUGAAAAACUAGGAAAGAUAGGAAACAAUAAUGUAAUAAUGGCCUCAACACAUGUAAUGCAGGUUUUUGAUGUCGGGAUAUUUAUUUUCUGUUAAUUGAAGGGUUUGAUACAAUAAAACUUGGAUUAAAAAAAAGCAAGCCACGGUCUAUAUGCAACAUUUUAUAGGUUUGAAUAAAAUAAAACAUGGAGGAAAAAAAUGCAAGCGAUGGUCUAUAUUGCUAAUUUCUUAUGCUUAUUCUGUGAUGACAUGACUGGUGUUUAAUGUUUCUAUGUCUUGUGUCUUACAAGAGAGUUGACUUUUAAAAUGCAGGUUUCAAUGUUGAAACUGUUGAGUACAAGAACAUUAGCUUCACCGUCUGGGAUGUCGGGGGUCAGGACAAGGUAUUAUGAUCUACAACAUCAUUUUGCAUUGUACUGCAUACUGCUGUCUUUUAUUUUAUUGUUUUGCCAAGUCCAGCAUUAUUUUUCAUUUGAAAGUAAUUUUCUACGCAGUGAUCUGAUUGUUGGUGAUUUUGUGGUACCAAAUUAGUUUGUAAGAUAUGGAGAUACUGCUUGGUCUAUGGCCUCUCUCUAUCUUACACAGAAGUAUUUGCAUGUUCCUUCAAAUUUUGACUGAAGUGUACACAUUUUUCUGAAAACAGAUCAGACCUCUCUGGAGGCAUUACUUCCAGAACACACAGGGUCUUAUCUUCGUUGUGGACAGCAAUGACCGUGACCGUGUUGUUGAAGCCAGGGAUGAGCUCCACAGGAUGCUGAACGAGGUAAAACAUUUCCCAGGCCAUUUUACCAUGCUGUCUAAGUGCUGCAGAAAGGCAAUUUACGAAUAUCUUAAUGGAUUUGAUGUGGUAUUUGCAUUUUAUUGACAACAAAACCUUUUAGUUAGGAGUAACUGUCAUUUUAACAAAUCACUCUGAGAAGAGUAAUACUAGUUGUUUCUUUAUAUUGUUUUACCUCUUAUUUCAACUUCCAUACAACACUUGUCUGCAAAAUAAGCCAGAGAGGAUCUGGUCCUAUCUUAAAACAAAAAAAAUGGUCAUUUAUUUAUUUUUUGAUUGAUUAGGGAAAUCCCUGUAUCCUCUUUUGAUAUUCUGUCUGGAAAAUAUGUUAGUAGUUCAUUCCAUUUUGCAAAUCCAUUUUGUGGCAGUAUUAAGUGAAAUCCAUUUGGUACUCUGAUGGCAGGAUGAGCUACGUGAUGCUGUGCUGCUUGUUUUUGCCAACAAGCAAGAUCUGCCCAACGCUAUGAAUGCUGCUGAGAUCACUGACAAGCUUGGAUUACACUCCCUGCGCCAGCGACACUGGUAAAUGAUCAAUGAUUAUCUGCUUCAGUACAUUUGCAUCUGUGUAGCUAAUAUUCUGUGACUUCAUAUUGACAUGUGAUCAGCAUUAGGUGUGAAUCACCACUUUCUGUGAAUCCUUUAGUUCUUAUUACUGUGUUCUUGCUUACAGGUACAUCCAGAGCACUUGUGCCACAACUGGCGAGGGUCUGUACGAGGGUCUGGACUGGCUGUCCAGCAACAUUGCUAGCAAGGUAUUCAUACUUUGUGAUUUCCUGUCAGUGAUUCAGUCACAAGUAUACUAUGUGAUCGAUCUGUAGAUAAUCCAUAUGUGUUUAGCCCAUUUUGUUAUGCUACCAGGAGCAAAUAGUCUAUCUGAAAUUCCUGUUCACUGUAUGUUGGCCUAAUACCA